Molecule: ribosomal RNA, 466 nt
Filed under: Vreelandella stevensii
Lineage: Bacteria; Pseudomonadati; Pseudomonadota; Gammaproteobacteria; Oceanospirillales; Halomonadaceae
Description: partial 16S ribosomal RNA
Rfam family: Bacterial small subunit ribosomal RNA
Source: RNAcentral
CCUACGGGGGGCUGCAGUGGGGAAUAUUGGACAAUGGGGGGAACCCUGAUCCAGCCAUGCCGCGUGUGUGAAGAAGGCCCUCGGGUUGUAAAGCACUUUCAGUGAGGAAGAACGCCUGGUGGUUAAUACCCAUCAGGAAAGACAUCACUCACAGAAGAAGCACCGGCUAACUCCGUGCCAGCAGCCGCGGUAAUACGGAGGGUGCGAGCGUUAAUCGGAAUUACUGGGCGUAAAGCGCGCGUAGGUGGCUUGAUAAGCCGGUUGUGAAAGCCCCGGGCUCAACCUGGGAACGGCAUCCGGAACUGUCAAGCUAGAGUGCAGGAGAGGAAGGUAGAAUUCCCGGUGUAGCGGUGAAAUGCGUAGAGAUCGGGAGGAAUACCAGUGGCGAAGGCGGCCUUCUGGACUGACACUGACACUGAGGUGCGAAAGCGUGGGUAGCAAACAGGAUUAGAUACCCCUGGUAGUC